CUACGGGGGGCUGCAGUGAGGAAUAUUGCACAAUGGGGGGAACCCUGAUGCAGCAACGCCGCGUGGAGGAUGACGCAUUUCGGUGUGUAAACUCCUUUUAUAUGUCAAGAAAAUGACGGUAGCAUAUGAAUAAGCACCGGCUAACGCCGUGCCAGCAGCCGCGGUAAUACGGAGGGUGCAAGCGUUACUCGGAAUCACUGGGCGUAAAGGACGCGUAGGCGGGUUGGAAAGUCAGGUGUGAAAUCCUACAGCUUAACUGUAGAACUGCACUUGAAACUUCUAAUCUAGAGUAUGGGAGGGGGAGAUGGAAUUAGUGGUGUAGGGGUAAAAUCCGUAGAUAUCACUGGGAAUACCUAAAGCGAAGGCGAUCUCCUGGAACAUUACUGACGCUAAGGCGUGAAAGCGUGGGGAGCAAACAGGAUUAGAUACCCCGGUAGUC
RNAcentral lists this ribosomal RNA (439 nucleotides) under uncultured bacterium. RNAcentral's name for it is "partial 16S ribosomal RNA". It matches the Rfam family "Bacterial small subunit ribosomal RNA", at positions 339 to 795 of the family's 1533-position model. The record is from RNAcentral.